RNAcentral lists this ribosomal RNA (346 nucleotides) under uncultured bacterium. RNAcentral's name for it is "bacterial SSU rRNA". It matches the Rfam family "Bacterial small subunit ribosomal RNA", at positions 28 to 334 of the family's 1533-position model. The record is from RNAcentral.
GAUGAAUGCUGGCGGCGUGCCUAAUACAUGCAAGUCGAGCGGUAGCAGGGCUUCACCGUUCUCUUGGAACUCCGGGCCGAUGGCGGGAGAUUUUCUCGAGGGAACAGUGAAGUUGCUGACGAGCGGCGGACGGCUGAGUAACGCGUGGGAACAUACCCCGAAGUGAGGGAUAACUACUCGAAAGAGUGGCUAAUACCGCAUGUGAUCUUCGGAUUAAAGCAUUUAUGCGCUUUGGGAAUGGCCUGCGUACGAUUAGAUAGUUGGUGAGGUAAAGGCUCACCAAGUCGACGAUCGUUAGAUGGUUUGAGAGGAUGAUCAUCCAGACUGGGACUGAGACACGGCCCAG